UCGAACGGCAGCACAGGAGAGCUUGCUCUCUGGGUGGCGAGUGGCGGACGGGUGAGGAAUACAUCGGAAUCUACUCUGUCGUGGGGGAUAACGUAGGGAAACUUACGCUAAUACCGCAUACGACCUACGGGUGAAAGCAGGGGAUCUUCGGACCUUGCGCGAUUGAAUGAGCCGAUGUCGGAUUAGCUAGUUGGCGGGGUAAAGGCCCACCAAGGCGACGAUCCGUAGCUGGUCUGAGAGGAUGAUCAGCCACACUGGAACUGAGACACGGUCCAGACUCCUACGGGAGGCAGCAGUGGGGAAUAUUGGACAAUGGGCGCAAGCCUGAUCCAGCCAUACCGCGUGGGUGAAGAAGGCCUUCGGGUUGUAAAGCCCUUUUGUUGGGAAAGAAAUCCAGCCGGCUAAUACCUGGUUGGGAUGACGGUACCCAAAGAAUAAGCACCGGCUAACUUCGUGCCAGCAGCCGCGGUAAUACNAAGGGUGCAAGCGUUACUCGGAAUUACUGGGCGUAAAGCGUGCGUAGGUGGUCGUUUAAUUCCGUUGUGAAAGCCCUGGGCUCAACCUGGGAA
Molecule: ribosomal RNA, 569 nt
Filed under: Stenotrophomonas sp. faro5_7B
Lineage: Bacteria; Pseudomonadati; Pseudomonadota; Gammaproteobacteria; Lysobacterales; Lysobacteraceae
Description: bacterial SSU rRNA
Rfam family: Bacterial small subunit ribosomal RNA
Source: RNAcentral